AUUAAAAUAAAAAUUUUUUUUAUUUUAUAAUUUUUUUAUUUAAAUUUAAUUUAAAUAUAAAUAUAAUUGUAUAAAUUUAUUUUUUAAAAAUUUAAUUUAUUUAUAAUUUUUGUAUUGAAAAAGAAAUUUUAUAUUUUUAAUAAAAAUAAAUUUAAUAUUUUUACCUUUUGUAUCAGGGUUAAUUAAAAUUUAUAAAUAUAUAUAUUUUUUUCUCGAAAUAAAUAGAUUUAUUUUAUUAUUUUUAUUAAUGUAAAAUUAUUAAAUGAAAUAGUAAAAUUUAGAAGAAAAAUUUUUUUCAUUAUUUAUAUAUCUAGUUAUUUUAUAAAUAAAUUUAAUUUAUUUUAUUUUAGUAUUUAUUUUUUAAUUUAUUAAUUUAAUAAAUUUAAAAUAAAAAAAAAUUUUUGGGAUUAGCUAAGAAUUUAUUUUAAUAUUAUUUUAAAAUUUAAUUUUUAAUAAUAAAAUUAAUAAUUUUUAUUUAUUUAUAGUAUAUAAUAAUUAAUAAUAAAUUAAAAUAUGAUUUUAAUAAAAAAAUUUAUUAUUUUAUAAAGUAAAAAUAAUUAAUAAUUUUUUAUUUUUUAUAAUGAUUAAAUUAGUAGAUAAUAUAAUAAUAUAAUAUUUUUUUUUUGUAAUUUUUUUUAAUGAAUUUGGCAAUAAUUGUUAUUCAACUGUUUAUUAAAAACAUUGUUUAUUGAAUAGUUAAUAGUAAAUAAUUUCUGCUCAAUGAUUUAUUUAAAUAGCUGCAAUUUUUGUACUAAGGUAGCAUAAUCAUUUGUCUUUUUAAUGAAGUCUAGAAUGAAAGAAAAUAUGAAAUAAAAACUUUAUAAAUUAAAAUUAAUCGAAUUUUAAAUUUAAGUUAAAAUUCUUAAAUUUUUAUAAAAGACGAGAAGACCCUAUAGAAUUUUAUAUUAAUAAAAUUUUAUUUAAUAAUAAAUUAAUUAAAAUUUUACAUAUAUUUAAUUGGGGAAAUUUUUAAAUUUAAUAAACUUUAAAAUUUAAUAUUUAUAAAUUUAUAUAUUAUAAAAAUUAUUAUUAUUAAUUUUAAAUUAAAUUACCUUAGGGAUAACAGCGUAAUAAUUUUGAGAUUUUCAAAAUUUAAAAAUUGAUUGCGACCUCGAUGUUGAAUUAAGAUAAAUUAUUAAUAAAGAAAUUAAUUAAUUAAGUCUGUUCGACUUUUAAAAUCUUACAUGAUUUGAGUUUAGAUCGGUGUGAGCCAGAUCGGAUUCUAUCUUUAUAAUUUGAAAAAUAAUUUUGUACGAAAGGACUUUUUAUUUUUAAUAAUUAAUUUUAAAUUUUAGAAUAAAAUUAAA
This 1307-nucleotide ribosomal RNA is filed under the name Lamennaisia nobilis. Its description in RNAcentral is "16S ribosomal RNA". The record is from RNAcentral. RNAcentral also lists the same sequence under 1 other name. Lineage: Eukaryota; Metazoa; Arthropoda; Insecta; Hymenoptera; Encyrtidae.